GACGAACGCUGGCGGCGUGCCUAAUACAUGCAAGUAGAACGCUGAAGGAGGAGCUUGCUCUUCUGGAUGAGUUGCGAACGGGUGAGUAACGCGUAGGUAACCUGCCUGGUAGCGGGGGAUAACUAUUGGAAACGAUAGCUAAUACCGCAUAACAGUAGAUGUUGCAUGACAUUUGCUUAAAAGGUGCAAUUGCAUCACUACCAGCUGGACCUGCGUUGUAUUAGCUAGUUGGUGGGGUAACGGCUCAUCAAGGCGACGAUACAUAGCCGACCUGAGACGGUGAGCGGCCACACUGGGACUGAGACACGGCCCAGACUCCUACGGGAGGCAGCAGUAGGGAAUCGGCGGCAAUGGACGGAAGUCUGACCGAGCAACGCCGCGGGAGUGAAGAAGGUUGUCGGAUCGUAAAGCUCGGUUGUAAGAGAAGAACGAGUGUGAGAGUGGAAAGUUCACACUGUGACGGUAUCUGACCAGAAAGGGACGGCUAACUACGUG
RNAcentral lists this ribosomal RNA (495 nucleotides) under uncultured bacterium. RNAcentral's name for it is "partial 16S ribosomal RNA". It matches the Rfam family "Bacterial small subunit ribosomal RNA", at positions 28 to 507 of the family's 1533-position model. The record is from RNAcentral.